Acanthosepion pharaonis is the source of this 95-nucleotide non-coding RNA. NCBI's taxonomy places the organism in Eukaryota, Metazoa, Mollusca, Cephalopoda, Sepiida, Sepiidae. The record is from the annotation of a GenBank genome assembly.
GGAAACACUAGUUCUUGUACAUCUCUGCAGUUAAGCAAUAUUGAGCCUGGUCAGUACCUAGAUGGGUGACUACUUGGGAAUACCAGGUGCUGUAA